GACGGACGCUGGCGGCGUGCUUAACACAUGCAAGUCGAACGGAAAGGCCCUGCUUUUGUGGGGUGCUCGAGUGGCGAACGGGUGAGUAACACGUGAGUAACCUGCCCUUGACUUUGGGAUAACUUCAGGAAACUGGGGCUAAUACCGGAUAGGAGCUCCUGCUGCAUGGUGGGGGUUGGAAAGUUUCGGCGGUUGGGGAUGGACUCGCGGCUUAUCAGCUUGUUGGUGGGGUAGUGGCUUACCAAGGCUUUGACGGGUAGCCGGCCUGAGAGGGUGACCGGCCACAUUGGGACUGAGAUACGGCCCAGACUCCUACGGGAGGCAGCAAUGGGGAAUAUUGCACAAUGGGCGGAAGCCUGAUGCAGCAACGCCGCGUGCGGGAUGACGGCCUUCGGGUUGUAAACCGCUUUCGCCUGUAACGAAGCGUGAGUGACGGUAAUGGGUAAAGAAGCACCGGCUAACUACGUG
RNAcentral lists this ribosomal RNA (468 nucleotides) under uncultured bacterium. RNAcentral's name for it is "partial 16S ribosomal RNA". It matches the Rfam family "Bacterial small subunit ribosomal RNA", at positions 28 to 507 of the family's 1533-position model. The record is from RNAcentral.